AGCCAAAGCCAUAUCACUCUGAAGCUCAAGACUAGUUACUCAAUGAAGCUAAGCAGGGCUGAGAGUGGUCAGUACCUGGAUGGGGGACCACAUGGGAAAACUAGGUUGCUGUUGGUA
Danio rerio (zebrafish) is the source of this 117-nucleotide non-coding RNA. The record is from Rfam. Lineage: Eukaryota; Metazoa; Chordata; Actinopteri; Cypriniformes; Danionidae.